RNAcentral lists this ribosomal RNA (301 nucleotides) under uncultured bacterium. RNAcentral's name for it is "partial 16S ribosomal RNA". It matches the Rfam family "Bacterial small subunit ribosomal RNA", at positions 509 to 807 of the family's 1533-position model. The record is from RNAcentral.
CAGCCGCCACGGUAAUACAGAGGAUGCAAGCGUUAUCCGGAAUGAUUGGGCGUAAAGUGUCUGUAGGUGGCUUUUCAAGUCCGCCGUCAAAUCCCAGGGCUCAACCCUGGACAGGUGGUGGAAACUACCAAGCUGGAGUAUGGUAGGGGCAGAGGGAAUUUCCGGUGGAGCGGUGAAAUGCAUUGAGAUCGGAAAGAACACCAACGGCGAAAGCACUCUGCUGGGCCGACAUUGACACUGAGAGACGAAAGGUGGGGGAGUAAAUGGGAUUAGAGACCCCUGUAGUCCCUGUCUCUUAUAC